RNAcentral lists this ribosomal RNA (1313 nucleotides) under uncultured bacterium. RNAcentral's name for it is "16S ribosomal RNA". It matches the Rfam family "Bacterial small subunit ribosomal RNA", at positions 33 to 1393 of the family's 1533-position model. The record is from RNAcentral.
ACGCUGGCGGCACGCCUAACACAUGCAAGUCGAACGAAGUAGCAAUACUUAGUGGCAGACGGGUGAGUAACAUGUAGGUAUCUGCCCUUUGGCCUGGAAUAACACGAGGAAACUUGUGCUAAUACCGGAUAAGUCUUUACGGAGAAAGCUUUAUGCACCAUUGGAUGAGCCUGCACUUGAUUAGUUUGUUGGUGGGGUAAUGGCCUACCAAGACUGUGAUCAAUAGCUGAUUUGAGAGGAUGAUCAGCCACAUUGGGACUGAGACACGGCCCAAACUCCUACGGGAGGCAGCAGUGGGGAAUCUUGCACAAUGGAGGAAACUCUGAUGCAGCGAUGCCGCGUGAGUGAAGAAGGCCCUUGGGUUGUAAAGCUCUUUCGUCGGGGAAGAAAAUGACUGUACCCGAAUAAGAAGGUCCGGCUAACUUCGUGCCAGCAGCCGCGGUAAUACGAAGGGACCUAGCGUAGUUCGGAAUUACUGGGCUUAAAGAGUUCGUAGGUGGUUGAAAAAGUUAGUGGUGAAAUCCCAGAGCUUAACUCUGGAACUGCCAUUAAAACUUUUUAGCUAGAGUAUGAUAGAGGAAAGCAGAAUUUCUAGUGUAGAGGUGAAAUUCGUAGAUAUUAGAAAGAAUACCAAUUGCGAAGGCAGCUUUCUGGAUCAUUACUGACACUGAGGAACGAAAGCAUGGGUAGCGAAGAGGAUUAGAUACCCUCGUAGUCCAUGCCGUAAACGAUGUGUGUUAGACGUUGGAAAUUUAUUUUCAGUGUCGCAGGGAAACCGAUAAACACACCGCCUGGGGAGUACGACCGCAAGGUUAAAACUCAAAUGAAUUGACGGGGACCCGCACAAGUAGUGGAGCAUGUGGUUUAAUUCGAAGAUACGCGCAGAACCUUACCAACACUUGACAUGUUCGUCGCGACUCUAAGAGAUUAGAGUUUUCGGUUCGGCCGGACGAAACACAGGUGCUGCAUGGCUGUCGUCAGCUCGUGUCGUGAGAUGUUGGGUUAACUCCCGCAACGAGCGCAACCCUCACUUUUAGUUGCCAUCAUUAAGUUGGGCACUCUGAAAGAACUGCCAGUGAUAAGCUGGAGGAAGGUGGGGAUGACGUCAAGUCCUCAUGGCCCUUACGUGUUGGGCUACACACGUGCUACAAUGGUAUCUACAACAGGAAGCAAGACUGCGAAGUUAAGCAAAUCCCUAAAAGAUACCUCAGUUCGGAUUGCACUCUGCAACUCGAGUGCAUGAAGCUGGAAUUACUAGUAAUCGUGGAUCAGCGUGCCACGGUGAAUGCGUUCCCGGGUCUUGUACUCACCGC